Molecule: ribosomal RNA, 465 nt
Filed under: uncultured bacterium
Lineage: Bacteria
Description: partial 16S ribosomal RNA
Rfam family: Bacterial small subunit ribosomal RNA
Source: RNAcentral
CCUACGGGAGGCAGCAGUGGGGAAUAUUGCGCAAUGGGCGAAAGCCUGACGCAGCGACGCCGCGUGAGGGAUGAAGGUCUUCGGAUCGUAAACCUCUGUCAGCAGGGAAGAACGGUCACUGUGCUAAUCAGCAGUGAAUUGACGGUACCUGCAAAGGAAGCACCGGCUAACUCCGUGCCCGCAGCCGCGGUAAUACGGAGGGUGCGAGCGUUAAUCGGAAUUACUGGGCGUAAAGCGCUCGUAGGCGGGAUGUCAAGUCAAGGGUGAAAUCCCCGCGCUCAACGUGUGAACUGCCGUUGAAACUGGCAAACUGGAGUGUGUGAGAGGAUAGUGGAAUUCCAGGGGUAGGAGUGAAAUCCGUAGAUAUCUGGAGGAACAUCAGUGGCGAAGGCGACUAUCUGGCACAUAACUGACGCUGAGGAGCGAAAGCGUGGGUAGCAAACAGGAUUAGAUACCCUUGUAGUC